CCGCGCGCCGCGCAGGCGCAGUGCUGCAAGGAGUGGGGGGGUGCGGCCGGGUUGGGGUUCGGGUUCGUUCGCAGGCGUGAAGUUUUAUGGCAAACUAGCCUAACUUCUCUAUCUCAUACACCAAGCAGCAUACCAGACUGAAUCCAAAGGAUCUGUGAAGAUGGAACAGUUGGUGGUGGGCCUGAAUUUCAGUGUCAACUCUAAGAGAAUUUCUGACUCAGAACACUGGCAAUCUCCUCCCUUUUAUGAUUAAUUUUUUAUGAACUUAUCUACCUGAACCAGCCCUCCUUAGGAUCAGAGGAAUGCCAGGAAUAUGUAGCUGGGGACACGGCAGGGAGAGCAGACUGGCUGUUCUGGCAGAAGCCAGCUAUUCUGUCAGCUUAGCUGUGUUGUCAAACCACGUGAAACCUCCAUCCCAACUGCUGCUGCUGUCAGUCCUUCUGCUAAGAGGGAAAGUUGAAGGAAAUCUAAUGAACAUAUGGGGAAACAGGAUCUCGCCAUGCUAUCUGGAACAAGUGGGGCUGGGGUCCUUCAGAUUACAAGAGGGAAUACAGUCUGCACGGAUAUUGCAGGACACCCUGGAGAUCAUGAUAGAGAGAAACCCAACUGCAAAAACUCAGUUCAGGUCCAGCAGGUCUUAUUAACUCUGGUUCAGUGCCAACACUGCGAGACUGCCAGCUGGCCCCUCAGCUAUUUGACUGUCUUUGCUGCAUGCUUUCCCGGUGCUCCAGGUUCUGAAAGGGCCUUGUAUGUACCAACGGAGCCAGCGCAGGUCUGGCACUGCCUCCUGUCUAAUGUGCCCUUCUAGGAGUUGGAGCACAAAUCAGCGAUAACAGGCCCUUGGAGCCUUGAUGUAUGUGGACUGAAUUCUUCCAGAGCUCACUUGGAUGUCUCUGCACUGCUCUUCCCAGAACUCCCAGUCCCAGAAACAAAGCGAGGGGCCGUCCGACUCGGCGUGGGGAAACCCGGGUUCCGCUGGGUUUCUUGCUCAGGCUCUGUGCUGAAGGAAAGCAGCAUUUCUAGGACUGAACUGGUGAUUUGUAAUGGAUUUGUCAUACUUUGCUUUCGCAAAAUCUUCCUCCUUUGCAUACUGAAUAUAUCUGGACAUUUUGAGACCAAGUCCACCUUUGAGAUGACAUUACCUGCUGAAAAAGGAGUUAUAAUGGAAGUUAAUUAUUAACAACAUAAAGAUGCUUAGUCCUCUUCGUAAGACUGAAUACUCAGUUUGGAGUGUCACUGUAAACACACUUGCCACCGCUGCUUCCCAGGUUAACAUUAUUUUAAAAAUACAAAAAAAGCACAUUUUUCAGUGAAAGUGCAAUCCUUCCAAGACCUGAUGGAUCUUGCAAGGUUUGGCAAGUAGGGAGAUCUGUUCCCUGACCUGGAAUUCCUUGGCCAGGGGUGCAAAGUGGUCCCUGCUCUGUUCUGCAGGAGGGAGCUCCCCCUGUCCUGCGCCAGCCCUGCUGGAGGACAAGCAGAUGUGAUGCAGAGCAGGCUCCUCGCUGCUGCCCUCCCUGCGCUUGGUGAAACCUUGUGAGCAAAGUCUGAACUCCAUGACUGAGCCGUUAAGGGGAAGUAGAAGUCGGACCCGAUAACUUUUUCCAAGCUUAUAUAUCCUGGUGGCUGCUGCUACUGUUAAAUAUGAUAAACUCCUAUUUGUUCACUUUAGCUUGCUGUCAGCAGUUGCUGUUUGCUGGGGCAAGCCCAGGACGUUUUCCUCCCCACCUGUCAAGCUUGGAGUGUGCUUUGGCACCCUGCCACUGCAGAGCCUCAACGACUUGAGCAGACAGCUUCAGGAACAAGACAUCCCAGUACUUAAGCCGCCUCUGCUUCAUGAGCUUUUCUUCCCAUCUGUAUACUUUCUGAAGAAGAAAAUGUUUGCUGGUCAAAGAGGUUUUCCACAUGCACCUCCUUCAGCUUUCCAUUACCGCUAGGAGGUUAUACGGGGUGCAGUGCCAUACACUGUACUGCACUAUAUGCAGAGGUGUUCAGACUUAAUUUAUUCCCUUCUCCUGGAUAAAGAUUAUUGCAGCUGUGUGUUUUGGAAAACUAUCAAUGAAGGGAGUUCAGCUCAUACAACACACUUUCAAUAGGGUACUGUACUCUAUAUUUCCAGGUUCUGUUUUAAUUACACUUGCAUAUUACCUUGGAGGAAGCUGAAAUCUGGAAAAUGUUUUCUCAUAUACCAUGUCUUAAACCUUCCUGACCUUCUGUUUUAUACCAAGUACAUUUAUGCUUGUGAUCAAAACCAUAUAAUAUGGGAAAGGCUUGGCUAUCCGGGAUAAUCCAUCAGGGGCAUGCUGUCAGUUCCCCCUAGCAAAGACUGAGCAAUUUUCACCGAGAAAUGCCCCCGCCAUCCCUCACUCCCCACCUUCCAGCAAAGUCCCUCUUCCGCUUCGCGCGGCUCCCAGUGAGAGCUACAGGACUGGGCCAGGUUGGGAGCAGGGUGGCAAGCAGCCUUCCCCUGUGGUGGCUGGGGCUCCUGCUGCUCUGAAGCAUCCUGGAGGGACAAAGCAAUGGGACGGCUCACAGUGUCAGUGUAUUGCCCGUAUCCCAAUAAGAACAUCAGUGCCUCCUGCCACUGCUGGGCUGGGGAGGUGAGCAGCAUCCAUAUUACCCACACUGGAGGCUGCAGUGCCGAACGCAGCCUGAUGCUCGGCGCUCAGGUCUCCCUGUGACAGCCAGCAUUCUCCAGGGAGAGCCAGGUGCCUGUGAGGGCUGCUGAAUGCAUAAAAAACCCGUGCAAACCAGACCUCUGUUCCAGAGGCUUUCAUGUAAUCUUUAGAUCCAUGCCAAUGGGAGCACGUCUUGAUCUUCACAUCUCUACAUGUCUGGAGAAUGUCCCAAGGGAAAGGCGUUUAGCAAAUAUGUGUUUGCAGGAAAGGAUCUGUCAGUCCUCUGCCCAGCACUUGGUCAGCAUUUGGGAAGUAUAGAUUGCUGUCUUUAAUCCCUUGCUGAGAAGCUCUCUCCCGUGGCAGCCUAGGAAGGUGUCGAGCAAUGCUGCCAGGCACUGGUCUGCUCCUGGGGCUGCUGCUCACACAGCUCGUGAGCUUGCGCCUUGUCUCAGCGCCUCGUUCUGAAAAACAAGGGAACUUUUACUUUUAACAGGAAUAAAAUAAAUCUUGUCAAACAGAAA
This is a long non-coding RNA of Numida meleagris (helmeted guineafowl), 3136 nucleotides long. RefSeq lists it as uncharacterized. NCBI's taxonomy places the organism in Eukaryota, Metazoa, Chordata, Aves, Galliformes, Numididae. The transcript has 4 exons. The record is from RefSeq and is a predicted model, not a curated record.